This 719-nucleotide ribosomal RNA is filed under the name uncultured bacterium. RNAcentral describes it as "bacterial SSU rRNA". It matches the Rfam family "Bacterial small subunit ribosomal RNA", at positions 340 to 1071 of the family's 1533-position model. The record is from RNAcentral.
UACGGGAGGCAGCAGUGAGGAAUAUUGCACAAUGGGCGAAAGCCUGAUGCAGCGACGCCGCGUGAGGGAUGACGGCCUUCGGGUUGUAAACCUCUUUCAGCAGGGACGAAGCGCAAGUGACGGUACCUGCAAAAGAAGCACCGGCUAACUACGUGCCAGCAGCCGCGGUAAUACGUAGGGUGCGAGCGUUGUUCGGAAUUACUGGGCGUAAAGAGCUCGUAGGCGGACUGUCACGUCGCCUGUGAAAGCCCGUGGCUCAACCACGGGUCUGCAGGCGAUACGGGCAGACUAGAGUACUGCAGGGGAGACUGGAAUUCCUGGUGUAGCGGUGGAAUGCGCAGAUAUCAGGAGGAACACCGGUGGCGAAGGCGGGUCUCUGGGCAGUAACUGACGCUGAGGAGCGAAAGCGUGGGGAGCGAACAGGAUUAGAUACCCUGGUAGUCCACGCUGUAAACGGUGGGCGCUAGGUGUGGGUUUCCUUCCAUGAAAUCCGUGCCGUAGCUAACGCAUUAAGCGCCCCGCCUGGGGAGUACGGCCGCAAGGCUAAAACUCAAAGAAAUUGACGGGGGCCCGCACAAGCGGCGGAGCAUGUGGAUUAAUUCGAUGCAACGCGAAGAACCUUACCUGGGUUUGACAUGGACCGGAAAGCCGUAGAGAUACGGCCCCCCUUGUGGUCGGUUCACAGGUGGUGCAUGGCUGUCGUCAGCUCGCGUCGUGAG